RNAcentral lists this ribosomal RNA (417 nucleotides) under uncultured bacterium. RNAcentral's name for it is "bacterial SSU rRNA". It matches the Rfam family "Bacterial small subunit ribosomal RNA", at positions 28 to 443 of the family's 1533-position model. The record is from RNAcentral.
AGUGAACGCUGGCGGCAGGCCUAAUACAUGCAAGUCGAACGGCAGCACAGCAGAGCUUGCUCUGUGGGUGGCGAGUGGCGGACGGGUGAGGAAUACGUGGGAAUCUGCCCAGUCGUGGGGAUAACGUAGGGAAACUUACGCUAAUACCGCAUGCGCCCUUCGGGGAAAGCCGGGGACCUUCGGGCCUGGCGCGAUUGGAUGAGCCCACGUCGGAUUAGCUAGUUGGCGGGGUAAAGGCCCACCAAGGCGACGAUCCGUAGCUGGUCUGAGAGGAUGAUCAGCCACACUGGAACUGAGACACGGUCCAGACUCCUACGGGAGGCAGCAGUAGGGAAUAUUGGACAAUGGGCGCAAGCCUGAUCCAGCCAUGCCGCGUGAGUGAAGAAGGCCCUCGGGUUGUAAAGCUCUUUUGUCCGG